RNAcentral lists this ribosomal RNA (2903 nucleotides) under Escherichia coli. RNAcentral describes it as "bacterial LSU rRNA". It matches the Rfam family "Bacterial large subunit ribosomal RNA". Lineage: Bacteria; Pseudomonadati; Pseudomonadota; Gammaproteobacteria; Enterobacterales; Enterobacteriaceae. The record is from RNAcentral.
UUAAGCGACUAAGCGUACACGGUGGAUGCCCUGGCAGUCAGAGGCGAUGAAGGACGUGCUAAUCUGCGAUAAGCGUCGGUAAGGUGAUAUGAACCGUUAUAACCGGCGAUUUCCGAAUGGGGAAACCCAGUGUGUUUCGACACACUAUCAUUAACUGAAUCCAUAGGUUAAUGAGGCGAACCGGGGGAACUGAAACAUCUAAGUACCCCGAGGAAAAGAAAUCAACCGAGAUUCCCCCAGUAGCGGCGAGCGAACGGGGAGCAGCCCAGAGCCUGAAUCAGUGUGUGUGUUAGUGGAAGCGUCUGGAAAGGCGCGCGAUACAGGGUGACAGCCCCGUACACAAAAAUGCACAUGCUGUGAGCUCGAUGAGUAGGGCGGGACACGUGGUAUCCUGUCUGAAUAUGGGGGGACCAUCCUCCAAGGCUAAAUACUCCUGACUGACCGAUAGUGAACCAGUACCGUGAGGGAAAGGCGAAAAGAACCCCGGCGAGGGGAGUGAAAAGAACCUGAAACCGUGUACGUACAAGCAGUGGGAGCACGCUUAGGCGUGUGACUGCGUACCUUUUGUAUAAUGGGUCAGCGACUUAUAUUCUGUAGCAAGGUUAACCGAAUAGGGGAGCCGAAGGGAAACCGAGUCUUAACUGGGCGUUAAGUUGCAGGGUAUAGACCCGAAACCCGGUGAUCUAGCCAUGGGCAGGUUGAAGGUUGGGUAACACUAACUGGAGGACCGAACCGACUAAUGUUGAAAAAUUAGCGGAUGACUUGUGGCUGGGGGUGAAAGGCCAAUCAAACCGGGAGAUAGCUGGUUCUCCCCGAAAGCUAUUUAGGUAGCGCCUCGUGAAUUCAUCUCCGGGGGUAGAGCACUGUUUCGGCAAGGGGGUCAUCCCGACUUACCAACCCGAUGCAAACUGCGAAUACCGGAGAAUGUUAUCACGGGAGACACACGGCGGGUGCUAACGUCCGUCGUGAAGAGGGAAACAACCCAGACCGCCAGCUAAGGUCCCAAAGUCAUGGUUAAGUGGGAAACGAUGUGGGAAGGCCCAGACAGCCAGGAUGUUGGCUUAGAAGCAGCCAUCAUUUAAAGAAAGCGUAAUAGCUCACUGGUCGAGUCGGCCUGCGCGGAAGAUGUAACGGGGCUAAACCAUGCACCGAAGCUGCGGCAGCGACGCUGAUGCGUUGUUGGGUAGGGGAGCGUUCUGUAAGCCUGCGAAGGUGUGCUGUGAGGCAUGCUGGAGGUAUCAGAAGUGCGAAUGCUGACAUAAGUAACGAUAAAGCGGGUGAAAAGCCCGCUCGCCGGAAGACCAAGGGUUCCUGUCCAACGUUAAUCGGGGCAGGGUGAGUCGACCCCUAAGGCGAGGCCGAAAGGCGUAGUCGAUGGGAAACAGGUUAAUAUUCCUGUACUUGGUGUUACUGCGAAGGGGGGACGGAGAAGGCUAUGUUGGCCGGGCGACGGUUGUCCCGGUUUAAGCGUGUAGGCUGGUUUUCCAGGCAAAUCCGGAAAAUCAAGGCUGAGGCGUGAUGACGAGGCACUACGGUGCUGAAGCAACAAAUGCCCUGCUUCCAGGAAAAGCCUCUAAGCAUCAGGUAACAUCAAAUCGUACCCCAAACCGACACAGGUGGUCAGGUAGAGAAUACCAAGGCGCUUGAGAGAACUCGGGUGAAGGAACUAGGCAAAAUGGUGCCGUAACUUCGGGAGAAGGCACGCUGAUAUGUAGGUGAAGUCCCUCGCGGAUGGAGCUGAAAUCAGUCGAAGAUACCAGCUGGCUGCAACUGUUUAUUAAAAACACAGCACUGUGCAAACACGAAAGUGGACGUAUACGGUGUGACGCCUGCCCGGUGCCGGAAGGUUAAUUGAUGGGGUUAGCCGCAAGGCGAAGCUCUUGAUCGAAGCCCCGGUAAACGGCGGCCGUAACUAUAACGGUCCUAAGGUAGCGAAAUUCCUUGUCGGGUAAGUUCCGACCUGCACGAAUGGCGUAAUGAUGGCCAGGCUGUCUCCACCCGAGACUCAGUGAAAUUGAACUCGCUGUGAAGAUGCAGUGUACCCGCGGCAAGACGGAAAGACCCCGUGAACCUUUACUAUAGCUUGACACUGAACAUUGAGCCUUGAUGUGUAGGAUAGGUGGGAGGCUUAGAAGUGUGGACGCCAGUCUGCAUGGAGCCGACCUUGAAAUACCACCCUUUAAUGUUUGAUGUUCUAACGUUGACCCGUAAUCCGGGUUGCGGACAGUGUCUGGUGGGUAGUUUGACUGGGGCGGUCUCCUCCUAAAGAGUAACGGAGGAGCACGAAGGUUGGCUAAUCCUGGUCGGACAUCAGGAGGUUAGUGCAAUGGCAUAAGCCAGCUUGACUGCGAGCGUGACGGCGCGAGCAGGUGCGAAAGCAGGUCAUAGUGAUCCGGUGGUUCUGAAUGGAAGGGCCAUCGCUCAACGGAUAAAAGGUACUCCGGGGAUAACAGGCUGAUACCGCCCAAGAGUUCAUAUCGACGGCGGUGUUUGGCACCUCGAUGUCGGCUCAUCACAUCCUGGGGCUGAAGUAGGUCCCAAGGGUAUGGCUGUUCGCCAUUUAAAGUGGUACGCGAGCUGGGUUUAGAACGUCGUGAGACAGUUCGGUCCCUAUCUGCCGUGGGCGCUGGAGAACUGAGGGGGGCUGCUCCUAGUACGAGAGGACCGGAGUGGACGCAUCACUGGUGUUCGGGUUGUCAUGCCAAUGGCACUGCCCGGUAGCUAAAUGCGGAAGAGAUAAGUGCUGAAAGCAUCUAAGCACGAAACUUGCCCCGAGAUGAGUUCUCCCUGACCCUUUAAGGGUCCUGAAGGAACGUUGAAGACGACGACGUUGAUAGGCCGGGUGUGUAAGCGCAGCGAUGCGUUGAGCUAACCGGUACUAAUGAACCGUGAGGCUUAACCUU